UUUAAUAUGGCAGAUUUAGUGCAAUGAAUUUAAGCUUCAUAUAUAAAAUUUAUAUUUUUAUUAAAA
Molecule: transfer RNA, 66 nt
Filed under: Hylaeus albonitens
Lineage: Eukaryota; Metazoa; Arthropoda; Insecta; Hymenoptera; Colletidae
Description: tRNA-Leu
Source: RNAcentral